RNAcentral lists this ribosomal RNA (253 nucleotides) under uncultured bacterium. RNAcentral describes it as "partial 16S ribosomal RNA". It matches the Rfam family "Bacterial small subunit ribosomal RNA", at positions 524 to 776 of the family's 1533-position model. The record is from RNAcentral.
UACGUAGGGGGCAAGCGUUGUCCGGAAUCAUUGGGCGUAAAGAGCGUGUAGGCGGCUCGAUAAGUCCGCUGUGAAAGUCCAGGGCUCAACCCUGGAAGGCCGGUGGAAACUGUCGGGCUAGAGUCCGGAAGAGGCGAGUGGAAUUCCCGGUGUAGCGGUGAAAUGCGCAGAUAUCGGGAGGAACACCUAUGGCGAAGGCAGCUCGCUGGGACGUUACUGACGCUGAGACGCGAAAGCGUGGGGAGCAAACAGG